Molecule: ribosomal RNA, 499 nt
Filed under: uncultured bacterium
Lineage: Bacteria
Description: bacterial SSU rRNA
Rfam family: Bacterial small subunit ribosomal RNA
Source: RNAcentral
UNAUUCGACGCAACGCGAAGAACCUUACCAAGGCUUGACAUAUACAGGAAUAUGGCAGAGAUGUCAUAGCCGCAANGUCUGUAUACAGGUGGUGCAUGGUUGUCGUCAGCUCGUGUCGUGAGAUGUUGGGUUAAGUCCCGCAACGAGCGCAACCCUCGUUCUGUGUUGCCAGCAUUUAGUUGGGGACUCACAGGAGACUGCCGGGGUUAACUCGGAGGAAGGUGGGGAUGACGUCAAAUCAUCAUGCCCCUUAUGUCUUGGGCUGCACGCAUGCUACAAUGGCUGGUACAAACGGCUGCGAUACCGCAAGGUGGAGCGAAUCCGAUAAAGCCAGUCUCAGUUCGGAUUGGGGUCUGCAACUCGACCCCAUGAAGUCGGAGUUGCUAGUAAUCGUAGAUCAGCAACGCUACGGUGAAUACGUUCCCGGGGCUUGUACACACCGCCCGUCACAUCACGAAAGUCGGUAACACCCAAAGUCAGUGGCCCAACCGCAAGGAGG